Molecule: ribosomal RNA, 510 nt
Filed under: uncultured bacterium
Lineage: Bacteria
Description: bacterial SSU rRNA
Rfam family: Bacterial small subunit ribosomal RNA
Source: RNAcentral
GGGGGAAACCCUGACGCAGCAACGCCGCGUGGAUGAAGAAGGCCUUCGGGUCGUAAAAUCCUGUCUUUGGGGAAGAAAAAAAUGACGGUACCCAAGGAGGAAGCCCCGGCUAACUACGUGCCAGCAGCCGCGGUAAUACGUAGGGGGCGAGCGUUGUCCGGAAUUACUGGGCGUAAAGGGUGCGUAGGCGGCCGAUUAAGUCGGAUGUGAAAUACCACGGCUCAACUGUGGGGGUGCAUUUGAAACUGGUUGGCUUGAGUGCAGGAGAGGGAAGUGGAAUUCCUAGUGUAGCGGUGAAAUGCGUAGAGAUUAGGAGGAACACCAGUGGCGAAGGCGACUUUCUGGACUGUAACUGACGCUGAGGCACGAAAGCGUGGGGAGCGAACAGGAUUAGAUACCCUGGUAGUCCACGCCGUAAACGAUGGAUACUAGGUGUAGGGGGUAUCGACCCCCCCUGUGCCGGAGUUAACGCAAUCAGUAUCCCGCCUGGGGAGUACGGCCGCAAGGUUG